Molecule: ribosomal RNA, 497 nt
Filed under: uncultured bacterium
Lineage: Bacteria
Description: partial 16S ribosomal RNA
Rfam family: Bacterial small subunit ribosomal RNA
Source: RNAcentral
GAUGAACGCUGGCGGCGUGCCUAAUACAUGCAAGUCGAGCGAACGGACGAGAAGCUUGCUUCUCUGAUGUUAGCGGCGGACGGGUGAGUAGCACGUGGAUAACCUACCUAUAAGACUGGGAUAACUUCGGGAAACCGGAGCUAAUACCGGAUGAUAUUUUGAACCGCAUGGUUCAAAAGUGAAAGACGGUCUUGCUGUCACUUAUAGAUGGAUCCGCGCUGCAUUAGCUAGUUGGUAAGGUAACGGCUUACCAAGGCAACGAUGCAUAGCCGACCUGAGAGGGUGAUCGACCACACUGGAACUGAGACACGGUCCAGACUCCUACGGGAGGCAGCAGUAGGGAAUCUUCCGCAAUGGGCGAAAGCCUGACGGAGCAACGCCGCGUGAGUGAUGAAGGUCUUCGGAUCGUAAAACUCUGUUAUUAGGGAAGAACAUAUGUGUAAGUAACUGUGCACAUCUUGACGGUACCUAAUCAGAAAGCCACGGCUAACUACGUG